Molecule: long non-coding RNA, 1636 nt
Organism: Ahaetulla prasina
Lineage: Eukaryota; Metazoa; Chordata; Lepidosauria; Squamata; Colubridae
Exons: 3
Source: RefSeq, a predicted model, not a curated record
CUAGUUUCAGCUGGUCACAUGUGGACACCAACCUUGCCUGGCGCGGCGGCGGCCUCUGACGUCACGCCCAGCUGACAACAAAAGACUGUGUGGUGGAUUGGGCUGAGAGCGAGUGACUGGCCCAAAGUCACUGUUGGCUUUGAUGCCUAAAGGACGGACGGAAGGACUAGAACUUGCAAUUUUCUGAUUUCCAACCCAGCACCAUUCCCAGACCCUGCAUUAAACCAGCUCUUUAAUCUCACAGGACUUGAAAACUGCUCUGUCUUCCCUCAGUUGUCUUUCUGGAGGGUGCUUUGGAGAACAGCCCGACUCCCUCUUCUUUGUGGCAAUGGUAAUGGUUCUCCAGAACUGGUCAGAACCUGCUGAAACCGACCUCUGGUACAAGGAACAAGUUACGUGGACUUUUCUGCCAGCUCUUACUAGUUAGUAAAUGAGCACCAACUUCCAUCUGUUCUUUAGGAGCCAAUAUUAUUUUUUCAAAUAUGAUUGGUCCCUGACACCUACAGUAUUACACACAUCGUAACAUUAAAUGGUAAAGAUUGAACAAAAUAUCAGUGAAAAAUAUGUUGUCUUUCAGCUUCCCCAGAUUGAUCAAUGUGUAUUGAUACAGUGGCACAUUCUAAAAUGUCGAUUAAGCAUGUCAGUAGCGUGUGCAAACUUUCUAGCACAUCAGAAUCUUUCCCCACCCCCCAUAAUGCUAAACUGAGUGCAAGACUGGAGAAGGAGAAAGGGGGAGGGACCAGGGUGGCAGAUCUUUAAAGCCACAGCAUCUGUAUUUGAUCAAACUUUUAAGAUGGAAUGUGCAGCUAUGGAAUAGCAAGCCUUUUGAUAGCCAUGUCUAGCACUCUGCUUUAAAGGGACACCUCAAAUUAACAUCAGGAAUUUUUCCUCAGAAUAUUCAUUUGCAUAUGGAUUUCAGGGUAUUUAUCUGCCUACAAAGAGAAAAAUCAAGAGGAAAAGAUGUAUCACUCCCCUCCCUAUUAUGAGUCAGCAAGUGAAAAUGUAAUACUGUAGAUUAAAAGCAGACCUCAACUCUGAAGCCACCAAGUCUUUAGUAGAUUGGAACAGGCGGUUUAUGGACACUGUAGUGCAAAUGCCCAAAAGGGUUGCUUUAGGGUUUCCAAAUGAAACAUUGCCGAUUAAAAAUUCCAGGAGAUAUUAUGAACAAGUAUUAAGUCUGUGAUGAAUGAAAAGGAAAGUCUGGUUUAUGAAUGCAAGGCUCUUUUUGAGGCCUGCAACCCUGCCAGAAUAAAAUUGAUGUUAUAGCCCUCAGGGAGUUUCUAGGCACAGAACUAAUCACCUCAGUUAAAAAGAGACUGUCCCUCUCCCUUAGUUUCGAGUGUUGAAUUGCAGUUGUACUCUGAAGUAAAUUUAUACAGAAAUAAGUCCUACUGAACCACACAUGAUUUAUUCAAGAAAAAAAAUGUUUAGGAUUUGUAUGUAUAGGAUGAAAGUAUUGGACGCAAGCAGAAAUAUUCCAAGAUGUCAACAAGAUUGAAGCUUUUAAAGAUAUUUUAAAAAUGCAUUCUUGAUCGUAGAAAAACAAAUCUUUGUGGAACUUUUUCUCUGCUGAAGGGAAAACAUUUUAAAUGUUUUAAAACAUUUGUUCCUUCUUUUUUUUAGAUAACAUCUAACA